RNAcentral lists this unclassified non-coding RNA (284 nucleotides) under Mucor circinelloides. RNAcentral's name for it is "partial internal transcribed spacer region". The stretch from base 1 to 46 matches the Rfam family "Eukaryotic small subunit ribosomal RNA", at positions 1786 to 1831 of the family's 1831-position model. The record is from RNAcentral. Lineage: Eukaryota; Fungi; Mucoromycota; Mucoromycetes; Mucorales; Mucoraceae.
AAGUCGUAACAAGGUUUCCGUAGGUGAACCUGCGGAAGGAUCAUUAAAUAAUCAAUAAUUUUGGCUCGUCUAUUAUUAUCUAUUUACUGUGAACUGUAUUAUUACUUGACGCUUGAGGGAUGCUCCACUGCUAUAAGGAUAGGCGGUAGAGAUGUUAACCGAGUCAUAGUCAAGCUUAGGCUUGGUAUCCUAUUAUUAUUUACCAAAAGAAUUCAGAAUUAAUAUUGUAACAUAGACCUAAAAAAUCUAUAAAACAACUUUUAACAACGGAUCUCUUGGUUCUC